AUAACAUUACUAUGUCUAAACCACAAGAAGGGUUUAGCUCAUGGUGAGUUGAACCUCAAAGAUGAAGAUGGAGAUAAACAUAAAUGAAAACAUGAAAAGCUAAAUUGAUAGAUUAGAUAGAGCUAGUACAAGAUUACAAUCCUUGAAGAAGAGUGGUAAGCUAAAAUUAAAACCAAGUAAUCUAACUCUAAUACUCUAAGAACCAACACUUAUGCUCAUCUAUGGAGAAGAUGAGAUGGAGUGAGAAUUCUAAAGUCGCUAACCCUAGCUAGAACUUGGCCUCUACAGUUCACUAACAACUUUUCGAACCCUUGACACCAACACUUGGUUUUCCUUUUAUAGUACAAGACCAACCACUCCAAGUUGUACCCUUUAGUCAUUUUACACAUGAGCUGCCCUUAUCAUAUCCUACAUACUCAAGACAUAUAUUUUUUUUUAUUCCUAGGAUUUCAAUUAUUGGCGUCAACUCAUAAUUCUUCCACAUUAGGAAAUGGUCAGGCAUGGUCCCCUGGAUCCAUACUAGUUGUAUGACCCGACUAGCGAUUCAGGGAGCUGCAUCUUUCCAAAUCAUCAGCGAAACAAUGCGAAUCCUUACUGAAGCUUCCCAUAUCUCAAGAGUCAUUUCUCAUCCUGCAUCACCAAACAUCCACAACAAGCAUUAAUAGUUCAAAAUGACUUAUUAACACUAAAAAUUAAUUAAAACUACAAAAGCGUAAAUAGGAUUACAUGUCUUAGGCAAUGCAAUCAUUCAAUUUAUUGUUCAUUAUGGGAGUUAAGUGCAACGUGAUAACCAACUAUUUUACCGAUUAUUAGUAAUUUAGCCAAAACUUUAUACGAACUCAAUCCUACCAAUUUCUUUUUAUCAUGACUACAAAUAAAAUUUUAUGCAUCUAUUGUGAUUAAAACUUAUAGAACACGAUUGAGUCACAAAAGAAAUUCAAAAGUAAAAAGGAGAAAAAAAAUUAAUUAGAAAUUAAAUUUAAAACUCAAACACGAUCGACGUUCGAUAUUUAUAUGAUUAAAUUUUAUUGAACACAAUUAAUUAAAAUUUAUUGAACGCAAUUAAGUUACAAAAGAAAUUCAAAAGUAAAAAGGAGAAAUGUUACCUCUUGGUUGCAGUAGGGAUCUAUUGUCAUACAUAUAUA
This 1145-nucleotide long non-coding RNA is filed under the name Medicago truncatula (barrel medic). Its description in RNAcentral is "long non-coding RNA (MTRU_LNC008744)". Lineage: Eukaryota; Viridiplantae; Streptophyta; Magnoliopsida; Fabales; Fabaceae. The record is from RNAcentral.